CCCUUAGAUGUCCUGGGCCGCACGCGCGCUACACUGAGUGUCUGAGAUACGAGUCUGCCUGGUCCGGCAAGGUCUAGGUAAUCGCUAAAAGACACAUCAUGCUUGGGAUAGAUUAUUGCAAAUAUUAAUCUUGAACGAGGAAUUCCUAGUAAGCGCAAGUCAACAGCUUGCGUUGAUUACGUCCCUGCCCUUUGAACACACCGCCCGUCGCUACUACUGAUUGGAUGUUUAAGCGAGGUUCUCGAACUGCUAGCGACUUAGCUUCGGUGAGGUCGCAGUGUGGGAAGUGAACCUAGCUUUGGUGUCUAGAGGAAGUAAAAGUCGUAACA
Molecule: ribosomal RNA, 329 nt
Filed under: uncultured eukaryote
Lineage: Eukaryota
Description: partial 18S ribosomal RNA
Rfam family: Eukaryotic small subunit ribosomal RNA
Source: RNAcentral